GACGAACGCUGGCGGCGUGCUUAACACAUGCAAGUCGAACGGAAAGGCCCUGCUUUUGUGGGGUGCUCGAGUGGCGAACGGGUGAGUAACACGUGAGUAACCUGCCCUUGCCUUUGGGAUAAAUUCAGGAAACUGGGGCUAAUACCGGGUAGGAGCUCCUGCUGCAUGGUGGGGGGUGGAGAGUUUCGGCGGUUGUGGGUGGACUCGGGGCUUAUGUGCUUGUUGGUGGGGUAGUGGCUUAGCGGGGCUUUGACGGGUCGCCGGCCUGAGAGGGUGACCGGCCACAUUGCGACUGAGAUACGGCCCAGACUCGUACGGGAUGCAGCAGGGGGGAAUAUUGCAUAAUGGGCGGACGUCUGAUGCAGCAUCGCCGCGUGCGGGAUGACGGCCUUCGGGUUGUAAACCGCUUUCGCCUGUGACGAAGCGUGAGUGACGGUAAUGGGUAAAGAAGCACCGGCUAACUACGUG
RNAcentral lists this ribosomal RNA (468 nucleotides) under uncultured bacterium. Its description in RNAcentral is "partial 16S ribosomal RNA". It matches the Rfam family "Bacterial small subunit ribosomal RNA", at positions 28 to 507 of the family's 1533-position model. The record is from RNAcentral.